GCCUCUAUAUAGCUCAGUUGGUUAGAGCGCUGCACCGGAAUCGCAGGGCCGUAGGUUCAAUUCCUACAAGAGGAC
Molecule: transfer RNA, 75 nt
Filed under: Paramuricea clavata
Lineage: Eukaryota; Metazoa; Cnidaria; Anthozoa; Malacalcyonacea; Plexauridae
Description: tRNA-Ser
Rfam family: tRNA
About the family: Transfer RNA (tRNA) molecules are approximately 80 nucleotides in length. Their secondary structure includes four short double-helical elements and three loops (D, anti-codon, and T loops).
Source: RNAcentral